Molecule: ribosomal RNA, 434 nt
Filed under: uncultured bacterium
Lineage: Bacteria
Description: bacterial SSU rRNA
Rfam family: Bacterial small subunit ribosomal RNA
Source: RNAcentral
UGGGGAAUAUUGGUCAAUGGUCGGGAGACUGAACCAGCCAAGCCGCGUGAGGGAUGAAGGUACAGAGUAUCGUAAACCUCUUUUGUCAGGGAACAAAAGGCGCCACGCGUGGCGCUCCGAGUGUACCUGAAGAAAAAGCAUCGGCUAACUCCGUGCCAGCAGCCGCGGUAAUACGGAGGAUGCAAGCGUUAUCCGGAUUUAUUGGGUUUAAAGGGUGCGUAGGCGGCGAGUUAAGUCAGCGGUAAAAGCCCGGGGCUCAACCCCGGCCCGCCGUUGAAACUGGCUUGCUUGAGUUGGAGAGAAGUAGGCGGAAUGCGCGGUGUAGCGGUGAAAUGCUUAGAUAUCGCGCAGAACUCCGAUUGCGAAGGCAGCCUACCGGCUCCAGACUGACGCUGAGGCACGAAAGCGUGGGUAUCGAACAGGAUUAGAUACCC